RNAcentral lists this ribosomal RNA (252 nucleotides) under uncultured bacterium. Its description in RNAcentral is "partial 16S ribosomal RNA". It matches the Rfam family "Bacterial small subunit ribosomal RNA", at positions 524 to 776 of the family's 1533-position model. The record is from RNAcentral.
UACAGAGGGGGCAAGCGUUGUUCGGAAUUACUGGGCGUAAAGGGCGCGUAGGCGGCCUUCUAAGUCGAACGUGAAAUCCCCGGGCUCAACCCGGGAACUGCGUCCGAUACUGGAAGGCUUGAAUCCGGGAGAGGGAUGUGGAAUUCCAGGUGUAGCGGUGAAAUGCGUAGAGAUCAGGUGGAACACCGAUGGCGAAGGCAGCACUCUGGCCGAAUACUGACGCUGAGGCGCGAAAGCGUGGGAGCGAACGGG